UACAUUGGGUUGGCGAAAAAGUUCGUUCAGGUUUUUCUGUACUAUCUUAUGGGAAAACCUGAAUGAAUAUUUUGGCCAACCAAAUAUAU
Molecule: microRNA precursor, 89 nt
Filed under: Ovis aries (sheep)
Lineage: Eukaryota; Metazoa; Chordata; Mammalia; Artiodactyla; Bovidae
Description: miRNA (ENSOARG00000024325.1)
Source: RNAcentral